RNAcentral lists this transfer RNA (70 nucleotides) under Dipodomys ordii (Ord's kangaroo rat). It matches the Rfam family "tRNA". Rfam says of the family: Transfer RNA (tRNA) molecules are approximately 80 nucleotides in length. Their secondary structure includes four short double-helical elements and three loops (D, anti-codon, and T loops). Lineage: Eukaryota; Metazoa; Chordata; Mammalia; Rodentia; Heteromyidae. The record is from Rfam by way of RNAcentral.
GGGAAUGUGGCUUAGUGGUAGAGUGCUUGCUUAACAUGCAUGAAGCCCUGGGUUUGAUUCCUCAAUACCA